This 348-nucleotide unclassified non-coding RNA is filed under the name soil metagenome. RNAcentral describes it as "partial contains 5.8S ribosomal RNA, internal transcribed spacer 2, and large subunit ribosomal RNA". The stretch from base 1 to 120 matches the Rfam family "5.8S ribosomal RNA", at positions 35 to 154 of the family's 154-position model. The record is from RNAcentral.
GAUGAAGAACGCAGCGAAAUGCGAUAAGUAGUGUGAAUUGCAGAAUUCAGUGAAUCAUCGAAUCUUUGAACGCACAUUGCGCCCGCUGGAACUCCGGCGGGCACGCCUGUCCGAGCGUCAUUUCAACCCUCAGGCCCCCCUUCGCGGGCGGGCCUGGUGUUGGGGCCCGGCCGCUACCCUGCGGCCGUCCCCUAAAUCCAGUGGCGGCCUCGCCGUGAUCCCUUGCGUAGUAAUGCACCUCGCACCGGAGAGCGCCGUGGCCACGCCGUAAAACCCCCAAUUUUCAAUGGUUGACCUCGGAUCAGGUGGGAAUACCCGCUGAACUUAAGCAUAUCAAUAAGCGGAGGA